Molecule: ribosomal RNA, 560 nt
Filed under: uncultured Glomus
Lineage: Eukaryota; Fungi; Glomeromycota; Glomeromycetes; Glomerales; Glomeraceae
Description: SSU rRNA
Rfam family: Eukaryotic small subunit ribosomal RNA
Source: RNAcentral
AAUUGGAGGGCAAGUCUGGUGCCAGCAGCCGCGGUAAUUCCAGCUCCAAUAGCGUAUAUUAAAGUUGUUGCAGUUAAAAAGCUCGUAGUUGAAUUUCGGGAUCAAUAUUUCGGUCAUGCCGUUGGUAUGCACUGUUAUCAUUGAUUUCUCACCUUCUAAAGAACCGUAAUGCCAUUAAUUUGGUGUUACGGGGAAUUAGGACUGUUACCUUGAAAAAAUUAGAGUGUUUAAAGCAGGCUCACGCUUGAAUACAUUAGCAUGGAAUAGUGAAAUAGGACAUCCGAUUCUAUUUUGUUGGUUUCUAGGAUCGAUGUAAUGAUUAAUAGGGAUAGUUGGGGGCAUUAGUAUUCAAUUGUCAGAGGUGAAAUUCUUGGAUUUAUUGAAGACUAACUACUGCGAAAGCAUUUGCCAAGGAUGUUUUCAUUAAUCAAGAACGAAAGUUAGGGGAUCGAAGACGAUCAGAUACCGUCGUAGUCUUAACCAUAAACUAUGCCGACUAGGGAUCGGAUGAUGUUAAUUUUUUAAUGACUCAUUCGGCGCCUUACGGGAAACCAAAGUGU